Molecule: long non-coding RNA, 273 nt
Filed under: Gossypium barbadense (sea-island cotton)
Lineage: Eukaryota; Viridiplantae; Streptophyta; Magnoliopsida; Malvales; Malvaceae
Description: long non-coding RNA (GBAR_LNC019577)
Source: RNAcentral
UGGUGAUUAGCCUACUUGAAAUCUCCUCUCUAAAAAUCUUCUUAUAAUCGCCAUCAAGUUAUCAUCUUGAAACAGAAAAACCACCUCCACAAUACCAAAUAUCCGCCUUAGCUUUGUCGUACCCGUUUUGUUUACUAUCUUCCUUGCUCAUUCUUUUGUUCUUUUGUUUACGAUCUUUGUUUGAUCUUCAUGAUAUCAGUAGUUCAUCAUAGACUUUAGUGAAGGUUCCAUAACCCAACAUACAACCGAGCUCAUAUUUUCCGUGGAGCAGAG